UGCAAAGAACUUUGAAGAGAGAGUUCAAGAGUACGUGAAACUGCUCAGAGGUAAACGGGUGGGCCCUCGAAAUACUGUGGUGGGAGGAUUCAGUCUGGAGCCGCGGGCGUGUGGGUCGAAAAACCGAGUAGGACCUCUCCGAACGGAGGUCGUUCGGCUACACGCAUCCCGUGGUACCCGACGCAUUUGUCUCCCGCCCGAAGGACGCCGCAGCCGGUUGGGUAGUGCAAGCGCGACGGCUAUGAGGGCGAGCGAUGGCAGGUGGCCGGUGGCGGAGCUCGUCUCCUUCGCCGGUUGUUAGCCGGCUCGUCAGUGGCCCGUCACCCGACCGAGGUGUCACGAGGCCCUUCGGGGCUCUCACGCCUCCUCCUUGAGACGCGAGACUGGACGUCGCAGGCGAAUUUCGCCGCGCGGUCGCACUCUCGACGAGUGGACCCGCGAACGAAGAGCACCGUUGGUGACGUCGGACUCGUUGGAGGCCGGAGGCUAGCGGCGAGUAGGUCGGUCACCCACCCGACCAGUCUGC
RNAcentral lists this ribosomal RNA (526 nucleotides) under Heteropoda venatoria (giant crab spider). RNAcentral's name for it is "partial 28S ribosomal RNA". The record is from RNAcentral. Lineage: Eukaryota; Metazoa; Arthropoda; Arachnida; Araneae; Sparassidae.